UACGAAGGGGGCUAGCGUUGUUCGGAAUCACUGGGCGUAAAGGGCGCGUAGGCGGCCGAUUAAGUCGGGGGUGAAAGCCUGUGGCUCAACCACAGAAUUGCCUUCGAUACUGAUUGGCUUGAGACCGGAAGAGGUCAGUGGAACUGCGAGUGUAGAGGUGAAAUUCGUAGAUAUUCGCAAGAACACCAGUGGCGAAGGCGGCUGACUGGUCCGGUUCUGACGCUGAGGCGCGAAAGCGUGGGGAGCAAACAGA
Molecule: ribosomal RNA, 253 nt
Filed under: uncultured bacterium
Lineage: Bacteria
Description: partial 16S ribosomal RNA
Rfam family: Bacterial small subunit ribosomal RNA
Source: RNAcentral